UGGGGGAUAUUGCACAAUGGGCGAAAGCCUGAUGCAGCGACGCCGCGUGGGGGAUGAAGGCCUUCGGGUUGUAAACUUCUUUUGCUCUGAACAAGGCAUGCUAAUGGGUGUGUUGAGUGUAGGGGUUGAUUAGCGCCGGCUAACUACGUGCCGGCAGCCGCGGUAAUACGUAGGGCGCGAGCGUUGUCCGGAAUUAUUGGGCGUAAAGGGCUUGUAGGUGGCUGGUUGCGUCUGUCGUGAAAGCUCAUGGCUUAACUGUGGGUUUGCGGUGGGUACGGGCUGGCUUGAGUGCAGUAGGGGAGGCUGGAAUUCCUGGUGUAGCGGUGGAAUGCGCAGAUAUCAGGAGGAAUACCGGUGGCGAAGGCGGGUCUCUGGGCUGUUACUGACACUGAGGAGCGAAAGCAUGGGGAGCGAACAGG
Molecule: ribosomal RNA, 419 nt
Filed under: bacterium
Lineage: Bacteria
Description: partial 16S ribosomal RNA
Rfam family: Bacterial small subunit ribosomal RNA
Source: RNAcentral